UGACUGUGCGAUACGCAUAUCAUUUGGU
RNAcentral lists this small RNA (28 nucleotides) under Bombyx mori (domestic silkworm). RNAcentral's name for it is "ovarian small RNA-32018". The record is from RNAcentral. Lineage: Eukaryota; Metazoa; Arthropoda; Insecta; Lepidoptera; Bombycidae.